Molecule: long non-coding RNA, 443 nt
Filed under: Bos taurus (domestic cattle)
Lineage: Eukaryota; Metazoa; Chordata; Mammalia; Artiodactyla; Bovidae
Description: long non-coding RNA NONBTAT001477
Source: RNAcentral
CAGGGGCCCAUCUAUCUCCUACCUCAAAACUGGAACAAAGUUAGAAAUGUAAGAAUGUUCUGCAUACCUCCUGGGGGGAGAAGGGGGAAACUUACUGGAAUGUUGAAAGUAUAGGUGUAAUAUUUGUUCUGAGGAUAAGAGGAAUAUGUGAGGCUUUAAUUCUGGUAUCUUCAGAAAACCUGAGCAAACUCUCAGGUCCUGCAGAAACCACUUACUAUAAAAGAAGAAAUCAUAUUCAAGUAACACUCUUUAGAGUCCUGUAGAUUUGCAACAUGCAGAUGCAACACAUCUAGAAAACACUAUGCUACUUUACCAGCACACAUAAAGAUGAAACAGGUUCUAGAGAUGGUUUCAACUGGAUGCCAGAGUCUAGAGUUAAAGCCAUUCUCUCUCCUAGUUGGUCAUGGGUUGACUGACUGACACAAGACAUCAAUUGGUGUGUU